GACGAACGCUGGCGGCGUGCCUAACACAUGCAAGUCGAACGGAACUGUUUUGAAAGAUUUCUUCGGAAUGAAUUUGAUUUAGUUUAGUGGCGGACGGGUGAGUAACGCGUGAGUAACCUGCCUUCAAGAGGGGAAUAACAUUCUGAAAAGAAUGCUAAUACCGCAUGACAUAUCGGAACCACAUGGUUUUGAUAUCAAAGAUUUUAUCGCUUGAAGAUGGACUCGCGUCCGAUUAGUUAGUUGGUGAGGUAACGGCUCACCAAGACCGCGAUCGGUAGCCGGACUGAGAGGUUGAACGGCCACAUUGGGACUGAGACACGGCCCAGACUCCUACGGGAGGCAGCAGUGGGGGAUAUUGCGCAAUGGGGGCAACCCUGACGCAGCAACGCCGCGUGAAGGAUGAAGGUUUUCGGAUUGUAAACUUCUUUUAUUAAGGACGAAAAAUGACGGUACUUAAUGAAUAAGCUCCGGCUAACUGCGUG
This 482-nucleotide ribosomal RNA is filed under the name uncultured bacterium. RNAcentral's name for it is "partial 16S ribosomal RNA". It matches the Rfam family "Bacterial small subunit ribosomal RNA", at positions 28 to 507 of the family's 1533-position model. The record is from RNAcentral.